GCAUCCGUAGCCGGUCUUGCAAGUCUUCCGUUAAAUCCAGCUGCUUAACAGAUGGGCUGCGGAGGAUACUACAAGGCUAGGAGGCGGGAGAGGCAAGCGGUACUCAGUGGGUAGGGGUAAAAUCCUCUGAUCCAUUGAAGACCACCAGUGGCGAAGGCGGCUUGCCAGAACGCGCUCGACGGUGAGGGAUGAAAGCUGGGGGAGCAAACCGGAUUAGAUACCCGGGUAGUCCCAGCUGUAAACGAUGCAGACUCGGUGAUGGGCCGGCUUUAUGCCGCUCAGUGCCGCAGGGAAGCCGUUAAGUCUGCCGCCUGGGGAGUACGGUCGCAAGACUGAAACUUAAAGGAAUUGGCGGGGGGAGCACCACAAGGGGUGAAGCCUGCGGUUCAAUUGGAGUCAACGCCGGAAAUCUUACCGGGGGCGACAGCAGAGUGAAGGUCAAGCUGAAGACUUUACCAGACAAGCUGAGAGGAGGUGCAUGGCCGUCGCCAGCUCGUGCCGUGAGGUGUCCUGUUAAGUCAGGUAACGAGCGAGAUCCCUGCUUUUAGUUGCUACCACUACUCUCAGGAGGAGUGGGGCUAAUUAAAAGGACUGCCGCCGCUAAGGCGGAGGAAGGAGGGGGCUACGGCAGGUCAGUAUGCCCCGAAACCCUCGGGCCACACGCGGGCUGCAAUGGUAAGGACAAUGGGCUCCGAUUCCGAAAGGAGGAGGCAAUCCCUAAACCUUACCUCAGUUAUGAUUGAGGGCUGAAACUCGCCCUCAUGAAUAUGGAAUCCCUAG
This 780-nucleotide ribosomal RNA is filed under the name uncultured crenarchaeote. RNAcentral describes it as "bacterial SSU rRNA". It matches the Rfam family "Archaeal small subunit ribosomal RNA", at positions 515 to 1294 of the family's 1478-position model. The record is from RNAcentral. Lineage: Archaea; Thermoproteati; Thermoproteota.